Arachis ipaensis is the source of this 1011-nucleotide non-coding RNA. The record is from RefSeq and is a predicted model, not a curated record. NCBI's taxonomy places the organism in Eukaryota, Viridiplantae, Streptophyta, Magnoliopsida, Fabales, Fabaceae.
AAAUUGAGAAAACAGAAACCCUAAUCUCCUCUAACCCUGACAGCCGCCGAAACCCCCUUCCCCCAAACUUAGCAGCUUAGACGCACAAACACUGGAGAAACGAGAAACAGAGAGAACGGAGAGUGCAGAGAAAGGAGAUGGAGUCUGACGCAGUCGCCACCUCCGUCGUGUGUCACCAUCGGUCAUUGCUGCUGAGCUGUCGUCGGAAAUGGAACCGCGGAGAGAGAGAGCCAUCCAGCCACCUUGCCAGAGCCGUCGUUUGUGCGCCGUCGCCGUUGAAGGAGGAAGCUGUUCAUGCCUAUCGCAGUCCCAUGGAGUCCGCGCUGCCAUCACGAGUGAGAGAGGGAGGCGUUGCUGCUUGCGCCGCCGCCUUGCCUCCGUCACCGCUGGGGUUUCGUUGCUACCGCCGUUGGUUCACCAUGGAGGAGAGUGGAUCUGAGGAGAGAGAACUCGAGGAAGAGAAGAACACGAAGAGGAGGAACUGGGAUCGUUGUUGUCACCACCGCUGCUGAAGACUAGCCCCCGCCCCGAGAUUUUACCGUCACCAUUCUACCCGGCGUCGCCAGCACUGAAGUCGGCCACUACCACCGUCGAGCCUUGUUGGAACUGGUGUUGCUUCUGGAGGUUUGGAAGGGAGGCUUGCUCGGAUCUGCUUCUGGUCCUGGUUCUCGCAGCUGCCGGAGCCUCUGCUGCCAUCAGCGCUGCCAUUAAAGCUAUUGAUUUGGUCCCAAUUCCUCCAUUUUUGAGACCUGCUGCUACUCUAUUUUCCCUGUUUACUGCUAGAACUAUCAUAGGGGAUACUGUUAAACUGUUAGAGCUGCUGUUGUUGCUGAUGCGAGUUAGAACGAAAUUGGAGUCACGUUUAAUUUUGUGGGUUUCGACUAACUGAGUGACACAGGUACGAAGAUUCAGUUUGAAGUUGCGGGCAAUUCUAGCAUUUAUUUACGAGUUAAGUUUAUGACUUGAGUUUCUUUCAUAGAAUUCCCUCGCCUUUGUAGCUUUAGUUUUUAU